Odocoileus virginianus texanus is the source of this 4677-nucleotide long non-coding RNA. RefSeq lists it as uncharacterized. NCBI's taxonomy places the organism in Eukaryota, Metazoa, Chordata, Mammalia, Artiodactyla, Cervidae. The record is from RefSeq and is a predicted model, not a curated record.
CUUCCAACGACCGUCUCUGUCUCCGCCCCGUCCCUAAAGGCCCCGCCCACUCCGCUCCUGAAGGCCACGCCCUUCCAGCCUGAAGGAUGCUGACACCACCCGGAACCCCAGCGCAAAAUCAAGGGCAGAGUCACAAGUGCUCUCUAAGACGUGUGAGAGAUGCAAGAUUUUGCACAGGAAGAAUGAGACUGUGGACCGCACAGGGAAACUGCUUGGGCAGCAGUGAGCAGCACCUGCGGAGUGAGGGGAUUCUUCACACACAUCACCUGACAACAGGAACUGCAAACAGCACACAGAACAUACAGAAAUUGUGGCAAAUACUGGACUCUAUCAGAUAUUCAGUUCAUCCUGUGAAACUUUUAGAGUUUGCUACUCUGCAACUUAACUGCCUGGGAGCUACCAGUCACAUGUAGUUAAGUGGACAAUGGAAAUGUAAUUAGUCCAAACUGACAUGUGCUUUACAUAAAACACACUCUGAAUUCCAAAGAUUUAACAGGAAAAAAUAUUACUGUGAAUAGCUCAAAAUUUUAUUGAUUAAAAGUUGACAUAUUAACAUUUUGGAUAUACUGGAUUAAAUAUGUAUUGUUAAGAUUAAUUUCAAAUAAAAAAUUUUACAUAACUAUUGGAAAAAUUAAAAUAACAUAUAUUGCUCACAUCAUAUUUCUAUUGCACAGCCCUGUUUUAUAUAGCAAAGCUCAUUCUAUAACAAGACAGUUGUGUGCAUCACUGUGGCAGGGAUUACUUUUUAUUCUAUGACAUUUUCCACCAAUUCCUUGAUGUCAAUAGUCAUGUUGCUUGAUUAGUAUGCCUCAUGUAAUAAACUGGGCCAAAAAAAAAAAAAUUCCACAUGAUUAGAUUCAGCAUAAAAGAUCUAUUAAGCAUUAUAUAAAAAUAAUAAUAGAAAAAAGUUGGUUCCAACCACUUGUUCAACCUGUGAGAACAUACAGGAAUAUGUAGAAAUAUUAAAACGGCCUUUUGAAGGUCAUGCAUAAGAAGAUAUUACUGGAUAGCGUGUCAUGUCAGACAUAAGUAUAUGUACUUCUACAUACAUGUAUGUCUGAAAGUCACAGAGGCAUUAAGUUUGAAGCAAUAAUCAAAUGACUAAGUGAACAUUUUCUUUAAGCAGUUGGGAAAGCAAAAUAGACAGAGUAGACAAAAGCUAAAGACAAUUUAAGGAAGGACAGGAGUAAAAUCCAGCUCAGUCUCUCUCCAAAGAUGUUGAUGCCCACUGGAAGGGCAAAGAGGGCAAAGAAUAUCCGAGUGCGCACAGAAGUAGAAGGUGGAGCGCCGGCACAGGCACGGGGCGAAGGAGCUAAAUGGCGUAGGGGAGCAAGAAAAGAAGGGGAGAAACAGAAGGACAAGCUGUGGACACGUCACUGCCUAGGUGACAGCCGGGUGACGAGAAGAAAUGGAGGAAAAGACAGGAAAAUGGAGCCUAAAUUACACAGGGGCUUGUUAUGGAUCUCUAAACACGGUCAAACUGGAAGGGGAGACCACUGCUUAAGAGAGCCUAGAGUUCACACAGGAAGAAAGAACAGAUGUGAGAUUAUCAUCAGACAGUCAACUUAAAAAGGACUAAACAAGCACAGCUUUCUUACUUCCAUCGACGUUACAACCUCUAUGACCUAGGUUUUCAUCCCUGGUAGGACGCUGCAGGGUGAUCUGCCUAUCAAUAUGGAAUCUCCAGAAAGAAAAAGCAAACCAUGGAUGUUGUCCAGAGAGGGUGGCCCACACAGCAGGCAGGCAGGUAAGAAACAAAGGUCACUGGGCUGACAGAUUUCAGGGAACAAAAAAGCUGCAGGAUGUGGUGUCAGGAGAAACACAGCUAACAUUAGGUAUUAGCUAUGGAGUUAAAAUGAAGUAGAAGCAGCUACAGCUCAGUAAACACUGGGGGAGGCAGAGUGGCUUGAGAUGCAUCAUUCCCAGGUUCAGACCCUGCAAAAGACUUCUCAUGGCUGACAGGAUACAUCCAAAUGCCUUCCCUUGUUCACAAGGCCUGCGUUCACCUGCACAUGCUCUGCACUAUGCACCUGGCAGACACCAAGCUCCAGCACACUGACUCCUGCCUACUCCACGACCACGCCAAGUUCAUGCCACGUGGCCUGACAGUAGCUGUUCGCUCUGCCUGGAAAAUGCUCUCCUCUGAUCUUGCACGGCUGGCUCUCUGCCAUUCAGGCUUCCCUCGGGGGCAGACUACUACCCGGGAAGAACAUGUGGCUCUGUCUCCGAGAUGGAUAGUUGGUGUAAAAUUUCCAGGCUAGGCUAGUGGACACUGGCAUCAGCAUGAAAGGUGACAAUCCUGACCAGCAUGUCUCCAGGACGCAGCACCCAAAUUAUUUUCUGAUAAAAGCUCACAGACACUCUCUUUGCUGGGAUUUUUUUUUUUUUUUGAGGUCCAUGUUUUUUUUUUAGAUUUCUCAACUUUCAUAAAAAAGAUAUCGCUCAUACUAACUCAGUUCACUACCACUGCACAUGGCUCUGAGCUUAGCCAGCAGGACCAAGAAUUACACUUGGUGUAUACCCAUAACUGGAGCCUUAGGUAAGAGCUGAAAGAACUACCUUUUAGUACAGUAAUUCAUAUAUAUACACAUGUAUAUGGUACAAGGCUAUAUGGUUUUCACUGUCAUUUAAGCAUCAAUUAUAACACUGUCAUUUAAGAUAUCCACAUUUUUAAAACAUAAGAAGUGCUUCAUGCUGUGACAGACGAUUAGGACAACGAAAAAUACAAAUGAAAGAUUUUAUAGGAUGAUUACCUCAUCUGUAUAUUCCUGCAAAGUAGGAUAUUGCUACUGGCAAUAUUCUUUACCUCCUUGCAUUGAAACAGAGAGUCAGAAAGCUGUGUCUUCAGGUUGCAUUGUUUACGAUCCCCAAGGAAUAGAAUUUGCUCGGUUGGGCUUUGGUUUUACACCACUGACUUAUAUUGAGGGCUGUUACAAGAAACUGCCCUGUGGGAUCUACUUAAGCUGCUGUGAGACAAAUCUUCACUGCCCUGUAGUGUGUACACACAGUCUAGUGAACUCUUAUUACUGCAAAUCAGGCAAACCGCUCGCACACCCUUCUUCAUGCUGACUGCUCGGGCGUUCCGCAGCCGGCUGUGCGGCUCAGGCCUAGGGAGUACACUUCCUCUGGGAGUCAACCUCACCCUAUUCUCUCUUCCCACUGGCCAAAUUCUCUUCUUACCUUGAGUCUCUGUAAGUCUACUCUGGGACAAGGGAAGGCACCAACAAUUUAAGUGUAUCUUUUUAGCUUUAUGUUGGCAGCAGGAACUAUGCAUGGUAACUGACAGCAAAUCAUCUCAACUCAGUUCUUACAUUUCAUUAUUUUACAAAAUAUUUUAUGAUCCCUAACAUAUAAAUGUAUAUAAAUCACGUAUGUUAUGUGAACAUAGUCUGCAAGAGAAAGCAGUACUGUCAAUAAGUAACAGAAUUUCUUGUGUUGGAACCAUGGUCAUAGAAAAGUUUGCAUGUUGUUUAGUGAAGUCUAAAUCAUGAUGAUGUACAAAAGGCUAAAUAAAAACUCUCAAACACACCCACAAUUGUUUUAUUCAAUUGGAAAAGUGUGUUGUAACACCCAGAGUAUAAUCAACUCUGAUGAAUGGCAUCACAGUCUGUGCACUUAAUGAAGUAAUUCACUUCCUGAGGUCUUAAAAUAAACACCACCCAUAAUAGUAGCUGUGCAUGAAUGUUCUUUUUCUCCCAGAUGAAACAGUGUAUAAUCCAAAACAUGUUUAAAACUUUAAAUUUCUUAUUAGCCUAAAUACAAUCUGACAUUUCAGUCUGCCUUCCCUAUAAUUUAUGUCUGUACAGGGAUUAAGGGCAAUAUGAUUAUACAUGUAGACACAAAAUAACUGAAGAUAAAAUUAUGGUUCUGAACAAAGAAAAAAUAAUGAUUAUGAAGUCUAACUGUGUUUGAGAUUAGUUUAAGCCUGAGGUAGCUGUAUUUAUGUUUCACAAAGCUGGAAAAAAGCCUUUAUUGACAUUCUAAGAAACAGGUAAAAGCUAACAGUUAGAUAACCAAGAGAUGACAUUUAAAAAAAAAUUUAAAAAAGACUGAAUUACAGAGAUUUCACAAGCAGAUUGGAAAUUCAAUUUACUAGGGGAAAAAAGAUCCCAAAACAUGCAUACUCAUUGGAAAUCCAUACACUAAGAAACAAAUAAGAUCUCUAUUUAAUGAAAGGGAUAGGAAAGAGCUAUAAUUUUCUAUAUAACACAAAUUGAAAACACUUAAGCCUUUUCACCUAAUUAUAAAAUACUGUUUGGAAAAGAAAGGGAAAAAAAGACAACUGAGGAUAAUAGAUAACCAUAACCAAGACAGAUGAAUCAAGAAGAAGCACUAACAAAAUAUCAGGACCAUACAUUUUCCAAGAUUCUCCAAAGUGUUUUGGUGAUCCUAUCAACAUACAUCCUGAAAUAACACCUGAGUGAACCAUCUUCCAAAUUUCCAACUAGGGAGUUUUUGUUUUUCUUUUUUAGUGUAAAAGACAUUGAAUUAAAGACAUUUUAAUUUUUUAAAUGACCUAUUAAUACCUUAUAGUACAUAUUAAAAUACCAUAAACUCAGCAAAUAUACUCAGCAUACAGUAGUUAGAUUCUUAAAAUAAGAAUAAAAAAAAAAAACCAUGCAAACUAUCUUUGAGUUUUCAAGCAAAUAACUUUUCAGAUAUACCAUCAAAGAUAAU